ACAUGGCGUGAGGUUUGAGCUGGUGAUGAAAAUAAUUUUAAUAAUGUUCUCUUGUUAAUGUGGGGAUAAGGGGGUAUUUGUGGUUUGACAUGUCAUGCGGUUCACACUAACUCUGUAUUUCAAUGACCUGUUAGAAAAUGCUGAGUGUCAAGGAUGAUGCAAAGAGUUGGGUCUCUCUCUGGAGGACCUGCUAACCCAUCAGCUGGGGCUAAUAAACAUAAUAACAUCCUCCACAACAAAUUGCUCAGCCAAUGACUUGGGAGCUUGGCCGGCCGAAGUUACAGAGCAAUUGAACCACCUUUCCUGGGCUGCUGAAGCAUAAUUAUGUCAAAAGGUAAGCCAAAAGGGACAGCGAUUGCGACAGUGGACAGAGAUGCAUUGAGUAACAUGGGAUCACAGAUUAGUGUUAGAUAACAGUGUUCUCUAAUCUCUCUUCAAAGGUGGCGCCCGAGUAGGCAGCCGUCGGCAAGUGCUCUUCAGGAGCCUUGCUUUUUUUGUUGUUUUUUUUUGUUCUUUUUGCGUUUUAUUUUGUCACGUGGUGCUGUUACCUCGUGUGGACCUAAUGCGGAUUGUUUUCACCAUCUUUUGGCCAUGACAUUCGUCAGAGGAGAAGAAUCUGUGCUUGGUGGUUGCGCC
Hippocampus comes (tiger tail seahorse) is the source of this 636-nucleotide long non-coding RNA. RefSeq lists it as uncharacterized. The transcript has 3 exons. Lineage: Eukaryota; Metazoa; Chordata; Actinopteri; Syngnathiformes; Syngnathidae. The record is from RefSeq and is a predicted model, not a curated record.